UCAAGAGCUCUCAAUCUCAUAGAAGAGAUAAGAGGUGAACAUAAACAUUAUCCCAAUGUUCUGUAGUAGUUGAGACAAGAAAGUGACCUUCCUGGUGGGUGGGGUGGACCAGAGAAGAAUUCAUGGAAGAGGUGGCAUUUGAUUAGGGUUAGUUGGAUAAUUAUCCCAUACUGCUCAUUGUCUUCUCUUCUGACCCCCUUAACCACCUUCUGAAACUGGUGCUGGUGCAUCCUUGACCCAAUUCUGAUAUUCUUGCUUGAUGUUGCCUGCUUGGUGUUGGUUGUCCAUAUGCCUGGCAGGGCGUGCUGAUGCCCAGCUGUGUCCAUGCCAGGAUUCCAGAGGAGAACCAGCCACCCAGCAAGCAGGUGAAGCCACUCUUCCGCCACUUCCGCCGGAUAGACUCCUGUCUGCAGACACGGGUGGCCUUCCGGGGCUCUGAUGAGAUCUUCUGCCGUGUAUACAUGCCUGACCACUCUUAUGUGACCAUACGCAGCCGCCUUUCAGCAUCUGUGCAGGACAUUCUGGGCUCUGUGACGGAGAAACUUCAAUAUUCAGAGGAGCCCGCGGGGCGUGAGGAUUCCCUCAUCCUGGUAGCUGUGUCCUCCUCGGGAGAGAAGGUCCUUCUCCAGCCCACUGAGGACUGUGUUUUCACCGCACUGGGCAUCAACAGCCACCUGUUUGCCUGUACUCGGGACAGCUAUGAGGCUCUGGUGCCUCUCCCCGAGGAGAUCCAGGUCUCUCCUGGAGACACAGAGAUCCACCGAGUGGAGCCUGAGGACGUUGCCAACCACCUAACUGCCUUCCACUGGGAGCUGUUCCGAUGUGUGCACGAGCUGGAGUUCGUGGACUACGUGUUCCACGGGGAGCGCGGCCGCCGGGAGACGGCCAACUUGGAGCUGCUGCUGCAGCGCUGCAGCGAGGUCACGCACUGGGUGGCCACCGAAGUGCUGCUCUGCGAGGCCCCGGGCAAGCGCGCGCAGCUGCUCAAGAAGUUCAUCAAGAUCGCGGCCCUGUGAGUGCGGCACUCGGCGGGAUGGGGGGCCCGAGGCCCGCGCCGCCGCCCGCCCCUGACCCCGCCUCCCACCCCCGCAGCUGCAAGCAGAACCAGGACCUGCUGUCUUUCUACGCCGUGGUCAUGGGGCUGGACAACGCAGCUGUCAGCCGCCUUCGACUCACCUGGGAGAAGCUGCCAGGGAAAUUCAAGAACUUGUUCCGCAAAUUUGAGAACCUGACGGACCCCUGCAGGAACCACAAAAGCUACCGAGAAGUGAUCUCCAAAAUGAAGCCCCCUGUGAUUCCCUUCGUGCCUCUGAUCCUCAAAGACCUGACUUUCCUGCACGAAGGGAGUAAGACCCUUGUAGAUGGUUUGGUGAACAUCGAGAAGCUGCAUUCAGUGGCCGAAAAAGUGAGGACAAUCCGCAAAUACCGGAGCCGGCCCCUUUGCCUGGACAUGGAGGCAUCCCCCCAUCACCUGCAGACCAAGGCCUACGUGCGCCAGUUUCAGGUCAUCGACAACCAGAACCUCCUCUUUGAGCUCUCCUACAAGCUGGAGGCGAACAGUCAGUGAGAGUGGAGGCUCCAGUCAGACCCGCCAGAUCCUUGGGCACCUG
RNAcentral lists this small RNA (1610 nucleotides) under Pongo abelii (Sumatran orangutan). Its description in RNAcentral is "retained intron". The record is from RNAcentral. Lineage: Eukaryota; Metazoa; Chordata; Mammalia; Primates; Hominidae.